UGUGGGUGGGGGCCCGGCGCUAGCAGAAGGAGCUAAGUUGCUCUCAACCUUCGCCCUAUCAAGAACCCGGUGGCCUUCGCAGCGUGCGUACCGUCUACUCCUCCAUAGACUGGGUUUCCGUGAGGAUCUCCUAGCAUGCUUCCGAUUCACACAGAUGGUCACCAUACUUAUAGUCUUUACGCAAUUCUCUUAACUUCCACUACUCUGGCCCGUCUUCGUGACAUGACCGGUCAUGAAGCUAAUGACCUUUACGUAGCUGUUCGUACAACGACUCUUCGAGAAACUAUCGAAUUUUACUGUUCCUUUAACAAGAGAGAUCGAUGAAAAGUGAGUUGUCACCAUUAUUUAUCAUAGUGAACGUGCGGAAUAACUGUUAAGUCCAGAAAUAGUAGUAUAUACAUUUUCUUCCAAAACGGACAGCCCAUUGUGCUGUCAAAAAGACGCCGGUGAAAUGCAAAACAACAACAGUCUCCGCAACGACCGAGUGCUAUAUUAAAACAACACUUAACUCUAUAAGGGUCCUGACUCACUCCUGAUUUACGACGGUAAAAAAGGAUAACGAAAAAAC
This 568-nucleotide ribosomal RNA is filed under the name Triticum aestivum (bread wheat). RNAcentral's name for it is "partial small subunit ribosomal RNA". Lineage: Eukaryota; Viridiplantae; Streptophyta; Magnoliopsida; Poales; Poaceae. The record is from RNAcentral.